This 2023-nucleotide long non-coding RNA is filed under the name Solanum lycopersicum (tomato). RNAcentral's name for it is "long non-coding RNA (SLYC_LNC000556)". Lineage: Eukaryota; Viridiplantae; Streptophyta; Magnoliopsida; Solanales; Solanaceae. The record is from RNAcentral.
AGCCAAAGAGUCAAACUGUCACGACCCAAAACGAGCCGUGAGUGACACCCACACUUAUCCUACUAUGUGAGCGAACCAACCCAUCUAAACCCCAACAUUUCAAACAUAAUAGGCAGAAUAUAAUGCGGAAGACUUAAAACACAUUAACGAAAUCAAUUAAAUAACUUCUAAAGCUCAAAACUUAUCAUUAUCCCCAAAAUCUGAAAGUCAUCAUCACAAGAACAUCUAUCCUCAAAUUACUAAAUCUAAGAGUAUCUAAGAAGCUAAAAUAACUAAACAGCUAGUCCAUGCCAGAACUUCAAGGCAUCAAGAUAUGAAGAAGAAGAUCCAGUCCAAGCUAGAAACAAUAGCUCACCCUGAAAUCCGACGUGAUGAAGACUGGCUAGAGUUGAAGACGACGGUACGUUUGCUGCACUCCACAAAUAACAAAGAGAAAACAUACAAGUAGGGGUCAGUACAAAACACGAGUACUGAGUAGAUAUCAUCGGCCAACUCAAAAUAGAAAGCAAUAUAUAUAUUAGAUAAUAUCAUAAAAUCAACUACAAUACUCAACAGGUAGCAACAACAAGUACAAGAAUCAUUGAUAACAACGCCAAGUACACCCAUGAGGACUCAAGCCUCCAUACCAUACUCAUUUGGGGAAAUAGGUUCAUUAAUUUGAGUAUAUUAACAUAAUUCAAGAUUCAUUCUCUUUAUUCCUCUUGUGUCGGAACGUGACACUCCGAUCCCCUAAUACUACGUGUCGGUUCGUGACACCCGAUCCACUAAUACUAUGUGUUGGUUCGUGACACCCGAUCCACUAAUACUAUGUGUCGGUUCGUGACACCCGAUCCCCUAAUACUAUGUGUCGGUUCGUGACACCCGAUCCCCUAAUUCUAUGUGUCGUUUCGUGACACCCAGUCCCCUAACCUCAUUCUUUUAGUUCAUCAAGCCUUCUUUUAUACCAAGACAUCAUCAUUAAUAGAGAGGUUUUAAGGUGUAAGAUUCAACAGCCUCAUCAUGCUAAUUCAUCACAAUUACAUAAUCAUAUCAUGCAAGCACACAAUUAAGCAUAUAGAAGACUUUACAAAAUUACCCAAUACGUAUCAUUUGCUAUUAAGAGUUUUACUACGAAAUAGCAUAAAAACCAUAACCUACCUCCACCAAAGAAUUCGCGAUCAAGCAAGCUACUUUCCCAAAGCUGCGUUCUUCUCUUUCUCUCGCUCGUUCUCUCUUCCUCUUCUGUUUUUUCUAUUUUUCCUUAUUCAAACUCUUUUUCUUUUACCCUAAUUACCAUAUAAUUAAGUAUAAAAGAUGACCAAAGUAACCCACUAAUUAAUUCAAGGUUAUCUCCUUUAACCCCCAAGUAAUUGAAUUAUUAACAUUCACCCACUAACUUUAAAAUUAUAAGCAGGAAUAGUCCAAAACGCCCCUUAAAACUUUUAACAGAAAUCUGACCCAGUCAGGGUUACGCAGUCUGUGACGGGCCGUCGUGCCUGCGACGGUCCGUCCUGCUGAGUCGUCACAGAGUUCAGAGACUCAAUUUUUAUUUUAAGACCCUGUGACGGUCCGUCGUGCCUACGACGGUCCGUCCUGCUCUUCCGUCGCGAAGUUCAGAGAAUUGUUCUCAGUACCCAAUUUUUCAGAAUUCUAAGUGUUUUGGAACGGGACACCCUCGACGGUCCGUCGUGCCCAUGACGGUCCGUCGUGGGAUCCGUCGACCCAGACAGUUAUUACCAGAAAUAAAUUCUACUGCUCAAAACGACUAACAGAUCGUUACACAAACAAUUAAUAUCAGCAACAACAUCAUAAAAAUUAAAUUAUACUUAAUAGGUUGUAUGAUAGAGCAUAUUUAAAAAAAAAUGCAUGUAUAUUAGCAAAAAAGUUAAGAAGUAAUUUGAUCUUAAAUCAUUAUGCAAUAAAAUAACAUAAAUCUGUAUUAGAAUCUAAAUAUAGCUUAAGACAUUAGGAGUUUAAGACGUCUCUUCGGCCAACAUUUGUUUUUCCUUCAUCUGUUUUUUUCUUAAAAAAUAAAAUAAAUUCA